UCUGCUCCUAGAGGCAUUGUAUGUGUGGUUACUGUGUCAUAUGUAUGUCAGUUGGUGGCAGAAAGGAGAGAGGCUGUGUCUACUCUCAGUGUUCUUACCUAUAAACAUCUGAAUAAUUAGAAGCUUAACGUU
Grammomys surdaster is the source of this 132-nucleotide small nucleolar RNA. RefSeq annotates it as small nucleolar RNA SNORA17. The record is from RefSeq and is a predicted model, not a curated record. NCBI's taxonomy places the organism in Eukaryota, Metazoa, Chordata, Mammalia, Rodentia, Muridae. The transcript has a single exon.